This 497-nucleotide ribosomal RNA is filed under the name uncultured bacterium. RNAcentral describes it as "partial 16S ribosomal RNA". It matches the Rfam family "Bacterial small subunit ribosomal RNA", at positions 28 to 507 of the family's 1533-position model. The record is from RNAcentral.
GAUGAACGCUGGCGGCGUGCCUAAUACAUGCAAGUCGAGCGAACUGACGAGGAGCUUGCUCCUUUGACGUUAGCGGCGGACGGGUGAGUAACACGUAGGUAACCUACCUAUAAGACUGGGAUAACUUCGGGAAACCGGAGCUAAUACCGGAUAAUAUUUCGAACCGCAUGGUUCGAUAGUGAAAGAUGGCUUUGCUAUCACUUAUAGAUGGACCUGCGCCGUAUUAGCUAGUUGGUAAGGUAACGGCUUACCAAGGCAACGAUACGUAGCCGACCUGAGAGGGUGAUCGGCCACACUGGAACUGAGACACGGUCCAGACUCCUACGGGAGGCAGCAGUAGGGAAUCUUCCGCAAUGGGCGAAAGCCUGACGGAGCAACGCCGCGUGAGUGAUGAAGGUCUUCGGAUCGUAAAACUCUGUUAUUAGGGAAGAACAAACGUGUAAGUAACUGUGCACGUCUUGACGGUACCUAAUCAGAAAGCCACGGCUAACUACGUG